This 465-nucleotide ribosomal RNA is filed under the name Vreelandella stevensii. RNAcentral's name for it is "partial 16S ribosomal RNA". It matches the Rfam family "Bacterial small subunit ribosomal RNA", at positions 338 to 795 of the family's 1533-position model. The record is from RNAcentral. Lineage: Bacteria; Pseudomonadati; Pseudomonadota; Gammaproteobacteria; Oceanospirillales; Halomonadaceae.
CCUACGGGAGGCAGCAGUGGGGAAUAUUGGACAAUGGGCGAAAGCCUGAUCCAGCCAUGCCGCGUGUGUGAAGAAGGCCUUCGGGUUGUAAAGCACUUUCAGUGGGGAAGAAAGCCUUGGGGCUAAUACCCUCGAGGAAGGACAUCACCCACAGAAGAAGCACCGGCUAACUCCGUGCCAGCAGCCGCGGUAAUACGGAGGGUGCGAGCGUUAAUCGGAAUUACUGGGCGUAAAGCGCGCGUAGGCGGUCUGAUAAGCCGGUUGUGAAAGCCCCGGGCUCAACCUGGGAACGGCAUCCGGAACUGUCAGGCUAGAGUGCAGGAGAGGAAGGUAGAAUUCCCGGUGUAGCGGUGCAAUGCGUAGAGAUCGGGAGGAAUACCAGUGGCGAAGGCGGCCUUCUGGACUGACACUGACGCUGAGGUGCGAAAGCGUGGGUAGCAAACAGGAUUAGAUACCCCAGUAGUC